AGAGUUUGAUCAUGGCUCAGAUUGAACGCUGGCGGCAUGCUUUACACAUGCAAGUCGAACGGCAGCGCGGGCUUCGGCCUGGCGGCGAGUGGCGAACGGGUGAGUAAUGCAUCGGAACGUACCCAGUCGUGGGGGAUAACACAUCGAAAGAUGUGCUAAUACCGCAUACGUCCUGAGGGAGAGAGCGGGGGACCUUCGGGCCUCGCGCGAUUGGAGCGGCCGAUGUCAGAUUAGCUAGUAGGUGGGGUAAAGGCCCACCUAGGCGACGAUCUGUAGCGGGUCUGAGAGGAUGAUCCGCCACACUGGGACUGAGACACGGCCCAGACUCCUACGGGAGGCAGCAGUGGGGAAUUUUGGACAAUGGGGGCAACCCUGAUCCAGCCAUGCCGCGUGAGUGAAGAAGGCCUUCGGGUUGUAAAGCUCUUUCGGCCGGGAAGAAAUCGCGCUCUUUAAUAGAGGGUGUGGAUGACGGUACCGGACUAAGAAGCACCGGCUAACUACGUGCCAGCAGCCGCGGUAA
This 520-nucleotide ribosomal RNA is filed under the name uncultured Thauera sp. Its description in RNAcentral is "bacterial SSU rRNA". It matches the Rfam family "Bacterial small subunit ribosomal RNA", at positions 8 to 523 of the family's 1533-position model. The record is from RNAcentral. Lineage: Bacteria; Pseudomonadati; Pseudomonadota; Betaproteobacteria; Rhodocyclales; Zoogloeaceae.